AUAAGCCUCAUCAUCAUCCGUAUCAUCAUCAGAUUUGAAUUGAACAUCUUCAAACUCAACAGGUUUUAUAUUUGUUAUGACUGAAACAUCAACGCUUGAUCCUUCGUCAUCAUUUCUACUCCAACUAGUGAUCUCUUCAGGAGAGGGACGGCUGACCAGGGGAGAGCUUCUGCAGGGCGUUCCACUCAUGCGCACGGGAGUCCCGGGCAGCCGACCAGGAUGGAGGAAGAGCCGGAGCAGAGCCGGUUGGCGCCGGAGUUCCUACGUCAGGCGAUCCAACCAUGCGCCCACUGGCAGGAUCGAGCAGCAGAGAUCCAGGGAAGAGAAGGCCGAAGGGCAGAAGGCGCCGAGCAAAGGGUGCCGGAUCAAGGUUAGAGGGAGAGGGGAGCGUUAGGGUGGUGCCACCACGGGCUGCUUCGUCGCGCAGCCAUGGUGUGGCUGCUGGAUCUGGGAUAGUUGAUUUAUUUGGGGUAGUACUUUUGAGGAUCUGGGAUAGUUGAUUUAUUUGGGGUAGUACUUUUGAUGAUCCGGGAUAUGUUUUUUUUUAACGUGUAUGAUUAAGAAACAUGCAUGCGUAAGAUUCCAAUAUUGCAAGGCCAGCAAAUUGUUUUUUU
This is a long non-coding RNA of Hordeum vulgare subsp. vulgare (domesticated barley), 614 nucleotides long. RefSeq lists it as uncharacterized. The record is from RefSeq and is a predicted model, not a curated record. The transcript has 2 exons. NCBI's taxonomy places the organism in Eukaryota, Viridiplantae, Streptophyta, Magnoliopsida, Poales, Poaceae.